AGCGGGGUGGAGCAGUCUGGUAGCUCGACAGGCUCAUAACCUGUAGGUCGGCCGUUCAAAUCGGCCCCCCGCAACCA
This 77-nucleotide transfer RNA is filed under the name Pseudomonadota bacterium. RNAcentral describes it as "tRNA-Met". It matches the Rfam family "tRNA". From Rfam's summary of the family: Transfer RNA (tRNA) molecules are approximately 80 nucleotides in length. Their secondary structure includes four short double-helical elements and three loops (D, anti-codon, and T loops). The record is from RNAcentral. RNAcentral also lists the same sequence under 1 other name. Lineage: Bacteria; Pseudomonadati; Pseudomonadota.